AACGAACGCUGGCGGCAUGCCUAACACAUGCAAGUCGAACGAGACCUUCGGGUCUAGUGGCGCACGGGUGCGUAGCGUGUCGGAACCUGCACUUAGGUUCGGAAUAACUCCCCGAAAGGGGUGCUAAUACCGGAUAACGUCUUCGGACCAAAGAUUUAUCGCCUUUGGAUGGGCCCGCGUUGGAUUAGCUAGUUGGUAGGGUAAAAGCCUACCAAGGCGACGAUCCAUAGCUGGUCUGAGAGGAUGGUCAGCCACACUGGGACUGAGACACGGCCUAGACUCCUACGGGAGGCAGCAGUGGGGAAUAUUGGACAAUGGGCGAAAGCCUGAUGCAGCAAUGCCGCGUGAGUGAUGAAGGCCUUAGAGAUGUAAAGCUCUUUUACCCGGGAUGAUAAUGACAGUACCGAAAGAAUAAGCUCCGGCUAACUCCGUG
This 433-nucleotide ribosomal RNA is filed under the name uncultured bacterium. RNAcentral describes it as "partial 16S ribosomal RNA". It matches the Rfam family "Bacterial small subunit ribosomal RNA", at positions 29 to 507 of the family's 1533-position model. The record is from RNAcentral.